UACGGGGGGAGCAAGCGUUGUUCGGAAUCACUGGGCGUAAAGGGCGUCUAGGCGGUUUGGUAAGUGGGAUGUGAAAUCCCCGGGCUCACCCCGGGACCUGCAUCCCAAACUGCUGAGCUUGAGUACAGGAGAGGGUGGGGGAAUUCCAGGUGUAGCGGUGAAAUGCGUAGAUAUCUGGAGGAAUACCGGUGGCGAAGGCGGCGUUCUGGACUGCAACUGACACUGAUGAACGAAAGCCAGGGGAGCAAACGGG
This 253-nucleotide ribosomal RNA is filed under the name uncultured bacterium. RNAcentral describes it as "partial 16S ribosomal RNA". It matches the Rfam family "Bacterial small subunit ribosomal RNA", at positions 524 to 776 of the family's 1533-position model. The record is from RNAcentral.